GUGAGUAACGCGUGAGGAACCUGCCUUGAAGAGGGGGACAACAGUUGGAAACGACCGCUAAUACCGCAUGAAGCAUAGGGGUCGCAUGAUCUUUAUGCCAAAGAUUUAUCGCUUCAAGAUGGCCUCGCGUCUGAUUAGCUAGUUGGCGGGGUAACGGCCCACCAAGGCGACGAUCAGUAGCCGGACUGAGAGGUUGAACGGCCACAUUGGGACUGAGAUACGGCCCAGACUCCUACGGGAGGCAGCAGUGGGGAAUAUUGGGCAAUGGGCGCAAGCCUGACCCAGCAACGCCGCGUGAAGGAAGAAGGCUUUCGGGUUGUAAACUUCUUUUAAGAGGGAAGAGCAGAAGACGGUACCUCUAGAAUA
RNAcentral lists this ribosomal RNA (366 nucleotides) under uncultured bacterium. RNAcentral describes it as "bacterial SSU rRNA". It matches the Rfam family "Bacterial small subunit ribosomal RNA", at positions 106 to 488 of the family's 1533-position model. The record is from RNAcentral.